GGCCUGGUGGUCUAGAGGUAUGAUUCCUUCUUAGGGAUCCGUUCCACAACUGGACACGUGAUUGGAGGAGGUCCCGGGUUCGAUUCCCGGCUAGGCCC
Non-coding RNA from Phanerochaete carnosa HHB-10118-sp, 98 nucleotides. Lineage: Eukaryota; Fungi; Basidiomycota; Agaricomycetes; Polyporales; Phanerochaetaceae. The record is from the annotation of a RefSeq genome assembly.